Molecule: RNase P RNA, 262 nt
Filed under: Pseudomonadales bacterium 32-61-5
Lineage: Bacteria; Pseudomonadati; Pseudomonadota; Gammaproteobacteria; Pseudomonadales
Description: partial RNase P RNA component class A
Rfam family: Bacterial RNase P class A
About the family: Ribonuclease P (RNase P) is a ubiquitous endoribonuclease, found in archaea, bacteria and eukarya as well as chloroplasts and mitochondria.
Source: RNAcentral
GGCGUGAGCCUACGGAAAGUGCCACAGAAAAUAACCGCCUAAGCGCGCAAGCGCCGGUAAGGGUGAAAAGGUGCGGUAAGAGCGCACCGCGCGGCUGGCAACAGUCCGUGGCUAGGUAAACCCCACUUGGAGCAAGACCAAAUAGGGAUCCAUUGGCGUGGCCCGCGCUGGAUCCGGGUAGGUUGCUAGAGGCAGUCAGUGAUGGCUGUCGUAGAGGAAUGACUGUCCUCGACAGAACCCGGCUUACAGAUCGACUCUCCGA